Molecule: long non-coding RNA, 312 nt
Organism: Telopea speciosissima
Lineage: Eukaryota; Viridiplantae; Streptophyta; Magnoliopsida; Proteales; Proteaceae
Exons: 4
Source: RefSeq, a predicted model, not a curated record
AUGUUCUCGGACUUCCUUACCAUAGCUUUGGAUCCUUUUUUAUCUAGAUGGGAGUCAAUGUUUUGAUACAUUCAAGGGUUUCUUUUCCAGACUUAGGAGCUCUGUGUAUUGUAAUGAAUCGAACUAUGAACAGCUAGUUGUUCAAAGUGGUAGAAAAAGGAAGUCCUUGGAGAGUAAUCUAGGUUCAUUUGGGCAAGCUGCGCAGGAAACUGAUCAAAGUGGUAGAAGGAAGUCUUUGGAGAGUAAUCCAGGUUCAUCUGGGCGAGCUUCCCAGGCAACUGAUCAAAGUGAUAAAAAAAGUAAUCCAGUUUC